This 72-nucleotide transfer RNA is filed under the name bacterium. RNAcentral's name for it is "tRNA-Asn". It matches the Rfam family "tRNA". Rfam says of the family: Transfer RNA (tRNA) molecules are approximately 80 nucleotides in length. Their secondary structure includes four short double-helical elements and three loops (D, anti-codon, and T loops). RNAcentral also lists the same sequence under 1 other name. The record is from RNAcentral.
UCCGGGAUAGCUCAGCGGUAGAGCGGCGCGCUGUUAACGCGACGGUCGCAGGUUCGAUCCCUGCUCCCGGAG